This 102-nucleotide small nuclear RNA is filed under the name Seriola dumerili (greater amberjack). Lineage: Eukaryota; Metazoa; Chordata; Actinopteri; Carangiformes; Carangidae. The record is from RNAcentral.
GUGCUUGCUCAGGCAGCACAUGUGAAAAAUUGGAAUCGAUACAGAGAAGAUUAGCAUGGCCCCUGCCUCAUGAGGACCUGCCCGUACUCGUUACCUACGUUG